UACGAAGGGGGCUAGCGUUGCUCGGAAUGACUGGGCGUAAAGGGCGCGUAGGCGGUUUGUACAGUCAGAUGUGAAAUUCCUGGGCUUAACCUGGGGGCUGCAUUUGAUACGUGCAGACUUGAGUGAGGAAGAGGGUUGUGGAAUUCCCAGUGUAGAGGUGAAAUUCGUAGAUAUUGGGAAGAACACCGGUGGCGAAGGCGGCGACCUGGUCCGAUACUGACGCUGAGGCGCGAAAGCGUGGGGAGCAAACAGG
RNAcentral lists this ribosomal RNA (253 nucleotides) under uncultured bacterium. RNAcentral describes it as "partial 16S ribosomal RNA". It matches the Rfam family "Bacterial small subunit ribosomal RNA", at positions 524 to 776 of the family's 1533-position model. The record is from RNAcentral.